UAUUUUACCGUACAGAUCGAUCGUUCCAGCGAAAAGGUUCCAAUUUUCAUUAAAUAAUUCACUUUUGUAGCGCAGAUAUAUCUUCGAGUCACAAUUUUUGCAACAGUUGAACGGCGACCACUUUCACCAAAAUCGCACGAUCAUCUUUCUCUUGAUGAUCGUCACCACGUCUGACACUCUGUUUUUCCAGCAUCCGAAAAAUGGUCUCACGGACUUUCUACGAUCCAUAAAGGAGAAGAAAGAAAAAUUCAUAAAAAAAUCACACGAGGACAUUCACCACUAUCAUCUUCACUAUUACCCGGUGCCCGUCGACGUUUACCACGAGCCCGUCAAAGCACCGAACAAAGAAGAACUGGAACAUUUGCACAGG
This 370-nucleotide unclassified non-coding RNA is filed under the name Athalia rosae (coleseed sawfly). RNAcentral's name for it is "misc RNA ENSAEAG00005006284.1". Lineage: Eukaryota; Metazoa; Arthropoda; Insecta; Hymenoptera; Athaliidae. The record is from RNAcentral.